ACGGAAGGCAGCAGUGGGGAAUAUUGGGCAAUGGGCGAAAGCCUGACCCAGCAACGCCGCGUGAAGGAAGAAGGUCUUCGGAUUGUAAACUUCUUUUAUGAGGGACGAAGGACGUGACGGUACCUCAUGCAUAAGCCACGGCUAACUACGUGCCAGCAGCCGCGGUAAUACGUAGGUGGCAAGCGUUAUCCGGAUUUACUGGGUGUAAAGGGCGCGUAGGCGGGGAUGCAAGUCAGAUGUGAAAUCUAUGGGCUUAACUCAUAAACUGCAUUUGAAACUGUAUCUCUUGAGUGUCGGAGAGGUAGAUGGAAUUCCUUGUGUAGCGGUGAAAUGCGUAGAUAUAAGGAAGAACACCAGUGGCGAAGGCGAUCUACUGGACGAUAACUGACGCUGAGGCGCGAAAGCGUGGGGAGCAAACAGGAUUAGAUACCCUGGUA
Molecule: ribosomal RNA, 437 nt
Rfam family: Bacterial small subunit ribosomal RNA